This is a long non-coding RNA of Malaclemys terrapin pileata, 299 nucleotides long. RefSeq lists it as uncharacterized. The record is from RefSeq and is a predicted model, not a curated record. NCBI's taxonomy places the organism in Eukaryota, Metazoa, Chordata, Testudines, Emydidae. The transcript is spliced from 4 exons.
UGGGAGACCUAGAAGGGAAGGAAAGAGUUUGUAUAGCUGACUCCCAAAGGAAUGGGCUAAAGACUGUGCCCUGGAGGGAUGAGUUAUCUGAAAGAAACCACCACAGCUCCAGAGUGACUGUUGAUAAGGGCUGCUACCCCACAAGGAUACUGUGAUGCCAUGCUUGGCCAUGAGGAAGUGUGUGGUGGCCCUUCGGAAGAAAUUUCAUACAAACUGAAAUCAAAGAUUGCCUACUUGGUACUUCUUUUUUGGAUGGGAUACAUAUUGCUGGGCCAAACCUCAGCACUUGCACAAAGUCU